UUGCUUAUAUACGCCUGAAAAGUUUUCGACUUUCCGAUUUACCCCUCUUAGAAGGUUAAUAUUGAAAAUACCCUUUCUACGUUCCAACCUAUUUCUAAUAUACCCCUAGAGUUAAAAUCUGUUAAUUAACUCUGUUAUCUCUGUAAAAUUACUAUUUUGCCCUUUCAAAUAUACCCUUCUACCAUCAUUGACUUUCUUAUUUGCCCUUAAAAUUAGGGGCACAAAAAGUAUUUUUACUUUUGGUCUUUUUCAAUAUACCCCUCUACCGUCACCAACAUUUCUUAUUUACCCUUAAGUUAAGGGCAAAAUUGGCAUUUUAAUUUUUUUUAACUGUGGUAGAUAUUUAACUCAUGUUUAACCCAGGUUAACUUAACAGGAGAUAACUGCGGGGGCAUUUUGCAAUAACGGUGGAACAUAUGAGGGGUGUUUUAGAAAGAAAAAAAAAGUAUGGAUAAAUCGGAUAUUUUGAAACAUAUGAGGGGUAUAUAGGUAAUUAUCCCUAAAAAGUUUUAACAAUGUCUUCUCU
RNAcentral lists this long non-coding RNA (526 nucleotides) under Ananas comosus (pineapple). Its description in RNAcentral is "long non-coding RNA (ACOM_LNC027795)". The record is from RNAcentral. Lineage: Eukaryota; Viridiplantae; Streptophyta; Magnoliopsida; Poales; Bromeliaceae.